CCUCAGUGAUGAUACGAUGACGAGUCAGAGUGGACGCCCCACGUGUGGAGUUCCUGAUCACUGGCACGUUCUGUGUCCGUGUUCCUGGUCGCUCCACACGUGAAGUCCUGUAUAGUGAUUGAACUUGAGGCAUUUGUCUGAGAGGG
This 146-nucleotide small nucleolar RNA is filed under the name Leptobrachium leishanense (Leishan spiny toad). The record is from RNAcentral. Lineage: Eukaryota; Metazoa; Chordata; Amphibia; Anura; Megophryidae.